RNAcentral lists this non-coding RNA (148 nucleotides) under Nomascus leucogenys (northern white-cheeked gibbon). The record is from Rfam by way of RNAcentral. Lineage: Eukaryota; Metazoa; Chordata; Mammalia; Primates; Hylobatidae.
GCUGGGUGUGGUAGUGUGCACCUGUAAUCCCAGCUACUCAGGAGGCUGAGGCAGGAGGAUCGCUUGAGCCUGGGAGGUGGAGGUUGCAGUGAGCUAAGAUUGCACCACUGCACUCCAACCUGGGUGACAGAGUGAGACUCUGUCUCAA